This is a non-coding RNA of Ictidomys tridecemlineatus (thirteen-lined ground squirrel), 472 nucleotides long. NCBI's taxonomy places the organism in Eukaryota, Metazoa, Chordata, Mammalia, Rodentia, Sciuridae. The record is from RefSeq and is a predicted model, not a curated record.
CGUGUGAGUUGUUUAUUACAAGAGCAGGGCAGGCCAACUCUAACCACACUUAUUUAGAGUAGUAACAACAGAGAGUUUUGUCCUUUUUUGACAGUAAAUUUCAGGAGUUUGAAUUUGGAGAAUGAUAGCCUAGAGCUAAACAUUCCACUCUCACCCUGAUCUUCUGGAAGCUCUGAGUCCAGGCCCAACGAGGGUAAAGGGUAACCAAGCUGAUGGACUUCGGAGUUUUUUGAUGGAAUAUAAAGCAGGAGUCUUGGUGAUCUUUUACUGUUGAGUGACAUCUUUCUCCAAAGAGUGACAUUAAAAUUCCAGAUGGUCAUAAGAAAUCAAACAUCCUCCAUUCCCUGCAAAUUCUCAGGAAGAGAUGAGAAAAUGGAAGCACAAAGAGGCUAAACACUUUGCCUGAAGUGACCUACUCAGUAAGUUGAAGAGCUGGAAUUCAAAGCCGAGCAGCCUGGUUCCAGAAUGUGUG